AACGAACGCUGGCGGCAGGCUUAACACAUGCAAGUCGAGCGCCCCGCAAGGGGAGCGGCAGACGGGUGAGUAACGCGUGGGAACAUACCCUUUGGUUCGGAAUAACUCAGGGAAACUUGAGCUAAUACCGGAUACGUCCGUAAGGAGAAAGAUUUAUCGCCAAAGGAUUGGCCCGCGUCCGAUUAGCUAGUUGGUGAGGUAACGGCUCACCAAGGCUACGAUCGGUAGCUGGUCUGAGAGGAUGAUCAGCCACAUUGGGACUGAGACACGGCCCAAACUCCUACGGGAGGCAGCAGUGGGGAAUAUUGGACAAUGGGCGCAAGCCUGAUCCAGCCAUGCCGCGUGAGUGAUGAA
RNAcentral lists this ribosomal RNA (354 nucleotides) under uncultured bacterium. RNAcentral describes it as "bacterial SSU rRNA". It matches the Rfam family "Bacterial small subunit ribosomal RNA", at positions 29 to 412 of the family's 1533-position model. The record is from RNAcentral.